AAAAUUUUGGUCCUGGACUUACUGUUAUUUACUCCAAGCCUAUACAUGCAAGCCUCCGCACUCCAGUGAAACACUCCGGUAUCAGGGACUUCCCUAAGACACCAAGCCACGCCACGUCCACACGGAAUAGCAGCAGUAACCGACAUUGGGCCAUAAGCACACGCUUGACCAGACUACGGAAAACUCGGGCCGGCAAAUUUAUGUGCCAGCCGCCGCGGUUACACUGAAGGCCCAAAAUAACAUCACCGGCAAAAAUGGCUAAAAGUUUCCAACCACUAAGAAUGAACCAAAGCUAACACGUGAAACAAUACCAAACAGACAACCAAAAAUCUUACAUUAUAGGGCCCUUUGACCCAUAAAAGUCAGGACACAAACUAGGAUUAGAUACCCUACUAUGCCUCACUGCAAAUCAUCCCGCCAAAUAAGUACAAGCACAGCUUUAAACUUCAAGGACCUGGCGGUACUCUACAUCAGCCUAGAGGGGCCUGUCCCUUAACCGACAACCCGCGAAAGACCCAACCUAUUCUAGCCUACCAAGCCUAUAUACCGCCGUCCCCAGCACAUUUUACAAAAAAUGCAGCUAAAAAGCCCCACACUAAUACGUCAGGUCAAGGUGUAGCACAUGAAUAGGACAAGAUUGGCCACAGUAUCACACCACACCCAACCUACAAUGAAACAUGUAGAAAAUAACGGAUUUAGUAGUAAGAGAACUAAGAACGCCUCCCUGAAACCGAACCCACCACAGCCCUUGAGUACGCACACACCGCCCGUCAUCCCCUCUAACUAAUAUGGGGGGCAAGUCGUAACAUGGUAAGUGCACCAGAAGGUGUACUUAGAAGA
Molecule: non-coding RNA, 840 nt
Filed under: Diploderma flaviceps
Lineage: Eukaryota; Metazoa; Chordata; Lepidosauria; Squamata; Agamidae
Source: RNAcentral